Molecule: ribosomal RNA, 1468 nt
Filed under: metagenome
Description: bacterial SSU rRNA
Rfam family: Bacterial small subunit ribosomal RNA
Source: RNAcentral
AGAGUUUGAUCAUGGCUCAGGACGAACGCUGGCGGCACGCUUAACACAUGCAAGUCGAACGAGAGAAGAGGAGCUUGCUUUUCUGAUCUAGUGGCGGACGGGUGAGUAACACGUGAGCAAUCUGCCUUUCAGAGGGGGAUACCGAUUGGAAACGAUCGUUAAUACCGCAUAACAUAAUUGAACCGCAUGAUUUGAUUAUCAAAGAUUUAUCGCUGAAAGAUGAGCUCGCGUCUGAUUAGCUAGUUGGUAAGGUAACGGCUUACCAAGGCGACGAUCAGUAGCCGGACUGAGAGGUUGAUCGGCCACAUUGGGACUGAGACACGGCCCAGACUCCUACGGGAGGCAGCAGUGGGGAAUAUUGCACAAUGGAGGAAACUCUGAUGCAGCGAUGCCGCGUGAGGGAAGAAGGUUUUAGGAUUGUAAACCUCUGUCUUCAGGGACGAAAAAAGACGGUACCUGAGGAGGAAGCUCCGGCUAACUACGUGCCAGCAGCCGCGGUAAUACGUAGGGAGCGAGCGUUGUCCGGAAUUACUGGGUGUAAAGGGAGCGUAGGCGGGAUCGCAAGUCAGAUGUGAAAACUAUGGGCUUAACCCAUAAACUGCAUUUGAAACUGUGGUUCUUGAGUGAAGUAGAGGUAAGCGGAAUUCCUAGUGUGGCGGUGAAAUGCGUAGAUAUUAGGAGGAACAUCAGUGGCGAAGGCGGCUUACUGGGCUUUAACUGACGCUGAGGCUCGAAAGCGUGGGGAGCAAACAGGAUUAGAUACCCUGGUAGUCCACGCCGUAAACGAUGAUUACUAGGUGUUGGGGGAAUAACUCAGUGCCGCAGUUAACGCAGUAAGUUCUCCGCCUGGGGAGUAUGCACGCAAGUGUGAAACUCAAAGGAAUUGACGGGGGCCCGCACAAGCGGUGGAGUAUGUGGUUUAAUUCGAAGCAACGCGAAGAACCUUACCAGGCCUUGACAUCCCUUGCAGAGGUAUAGAGAUAUAUCCGAGGUUAUCAAGGAGACAGGUGGUGCAUGGUUGUCGUCAGCUCGUGUCGUGAGAUGUUGGGUUAAGUCCCGCAACGAGCGCAACCCUUGUGAUAUGUUACUAACAUUGAGUUGAGGACUCAUAUCAGACUGCCGGUGAUAAACCGGAGGAAGGUGGGGAUGACGUCAAAUCAUCAUGCCCCUUAUGGCCUGGGCUACACACGUACUACAAUGGCGUCUACAAAGAGCGGCAAGCCUGUGAAGGCAAGCGAAUCUCAUAAAGGACGUCUCAGUUCGGAUUGAGGUCUGCAACCCGACUUCAUGAAGCUGGAAUCGCUAGUAAUCGCGAAUCAGCAUGUCGCGGUGAAUACGUUCUCGGGCCUUGUACACACCGCCCGUCAAACCAUGGGAGUUGGUAAUGCCCGAAGCCGGUGGCAUAACCCUUCGGGGAGUGAGCCGUCGAAGGCAGGACCGAUGACUGGGGUUAAGUCGUAACAAGGUA